This 512-nucleotide ribosomal RNA is filed under the name uncultured Glomus. RNAcentral's name for it is "SSU rRNA". It matches the Rfam family "Eukaryotic small subunit ribosomal RNA", at positions 569 to 1081 of the family's 1831-position model. Lineage: Eukaryota; Fungi; Glomeromycota; Glomeromycetes; Glomerales; Glomeraceae. The record is from RNAcentral.
AGCAGCCGCGGUAAUUCCAGCUCCAAUAGCGUAUAUUAAAGUUGUUGCAGUUAAAAAGCUCGUAGUUGAAUUUCGGGAUCAAUACGUCGGUCGUGCUUUCGGGUACGUACUGGCGUCGUUGGUUUCUCUCUUCUGACGAACCAUGAUGUCAUUAGUUUGGUGUUAUGGGGAGUUAGGACUGUUACUUUGAAAAAUUAGAGUGUUUAAAGCAGGCAUUAGCUUGAAUACAUUAGCAUGGAAUAAUGAAAUAGGACGUUUGAUCCUAUUUUGUUGGUUUCUAGGAUCGACGUAAUGAUUAAUAGGGAUAGUUGGGGGCAUUAGUAUUCAAUUGUCAGAGGUGAAAUUCUUGGAUUUAUUGAAGACUAACUACUGCGAAAGCAUUUGCCAAGGAUGUUUUCAUUAAUCAAGAACGAAAGUUAGGGGAUCGAAGACGAUCAGAUACCGUCGUAGUCUUAACCAUAAACUAUGACCGACUAGGGAUCGGAUGAUGUUAAUUUUUAAUGUACUCAUUC